AGUGAACGCUGGCGGUAGGCCUAACACAUGCAAGUCGAACGGCAGCACAGUAAGAGCUUGCUCUUACGGGUGGCGAGUGGCGGACGGGUGAGGAAUACAUCGGAAUCUACUUUUUCGUGGGGGAUAACGUAGGGAAACUUACGCUAAUACCGCAUACGACCUACGGGUGAAAGCAGGGGAUCUUCGGACCUUGCGCGAUUGAAUGAGCCGAUGUCGGAUUAGCUAGUUGGCGGGGUAAAGGCCCACCAAGGCGACGAUCCGUAGCUGGUCUGAGAGGAUGAUCAGCCACACUGGAACUGAGACACGGUCCAGACUCCUACGGGAGGCAGCAGUGGGGAAUAUUGGACAAUGGGCGCAAGCCUGAUCCAGCCAUACCGCGUGGGUGAAGAAGGCCUUCGGGUUGUAAAGCACUUUUGUUGGGAAAGAAAAGCAGAAGGUUAAUACCCCGCUGUUCUGACGGUACCCAAAGAAUAAGCACCGGCUAACUUCGUG
This 492-nucleotide ribosomal RNA is filed under the name uncultured bacterium. Its description in RNAcentral is "partial 16S ribosomal RNA". It matches the Rfam family "Bacterial small subunit ribosomal RNA", at positions 29 to 507 of the family's 1533-position model. The record is from RNAcentral.